AAGGGCCUGGAUUUAGUCACAGUC
RNAcentral lists this non-coding RNA (24 nucleotides) under Arabidopsis thaliana (thale cress). Lineage: Eukaryota; Viridiplantae; Streptophyta; Magnoliopsida; Brassicales; Brassicaceae. The record is from RNAcentral.